This is a long non-coding RNA of Brassica napus (rape), 387 nucleotides long. RefSeq lists it as uncharacterized. The record is from RefSeq and is a predicted model, not a curated record. The transcript has 3 exons. NCBI's taxonomy places the organism in Eukaryota, Viridiplantae, Streptophyta, Magnoliopsida, Brassicales, Brassicaceae.
CGUUCAAUGCGAAAAUCGGCCAUGCUUUCACAACAAUGGCGAAAGCGAGAUAGGCAAGGAAAUAUUCAAGCAACAGGUUUAACACCUCAAAUUACACAGAAUUCAGUUUCUUCCUCAGCAACCAAAACAGUUUCACAACAAAAGCUAAGGACCAUGCCUAAAAAAUAUUAUGACUGCGCAUGGCGCUCCAUGGCGAUGAAGUAUGUGCCUUGCGCCUUGCGCCAAGGCGCAUCGAGGCGCUCGCCUUGAAGACCACUUGAAACUGUGAUUAAAAAAAAAACUAAAUUACUAUGAUGAUGAACAUGCAAAUAAAGCAUUCAAUUACGUAAAAAACAUGCAAACACAAACUAUACCAUAAAGAGCAAUAAAAUACAUGUUAAAAAUGAA